GUUAAAACACUGGUUCCUGUAUGAUCACCAAAGUUAAGCAACAUCGAGUCUGAUCAGUACCUAGAUGGGUGACCACUUGGGAAUACCAGGUACUGUAAG
This is a non-coding RNA of Acanthosepion pharaonis, 99 nucleotides long. The record is from the annotation of a GenBank genome assembly. Lineage: Eukaryota; Metazoa; Mollusca; Cephalopoda; Sepiida; Sepiidae.